AGCAGUAGCCGCGGGAAAACGGAGGGAGCUAGCGUUGUUCGGAAUUACUGGGCGUAAAGCGCGCGUAGGCGGUUACUCAAGUCAGAGGUGAAAGCCCGGGGCUCAACCCCGGAACUGCCUUUGAAACUAGGUGACUAGAAUCUUGGAGAGGUCAGUGGAAUUCCGAGUGUAGAGGUGAAAUUCGUAGAUAUUCGGAAGAACACCAGUGGCGAAGGCGACUGACUGGACAAGUAUUGACGCUGAGGUGCGAAAGCGUGGGGAGCAAACAGGAUUAGAUACCCCGGUAGUCCCUGUCUCUUAUAC
RNAcentral lists this ribosomal RNA (303 nucleotides) under uncultured bacterium. RNAcentral describes it as "partial 16S ribosomal RNA". It matches the Rfam family "Bacterial small subunit ribosomal RNA", at positions 507 to 807 of the family's 1533-position model. The record is from RNAcentral.